Non-coding RNA from Solanum lycopersicum (tomato), 108 nucleotides. Lineage: Eukaryota; Viridiplantae; Streptophyta; Magnoliopsida; Solanales; Solanaceae. The record is from Rfam.
AUGUAUAUGAUUAUUAUGUCCCCAGAUGAUCGAAGCUGAAAUUACUGAGCUCUUUUUCAUGUAUGAUCUCUGUUCAGGUGAAAAUCCAAGCCUAAUAUUCUUGUAUGU